UGCAAGUCGAGCGAAGGUGUCUUAGGGGUAACCCUGAGAUACACUUAGCGGCGAACGGGUGAGUAAUACGUGGAUAACUUACCUCUAGGCCUGGGAUAACCCCGGGAAACUGGGGCUAAUACCAGAUAAGACCACAUUGUCUACGGACAAAGAGGUAAAAGGUGGCUGUGCAAGCAGCUAUCGCCUAAAGACAGGUUCACGUCCCAUCAGGCAGUUGGUGAGGUAACGGCUCACCAAACCAAAGACGGGUAGCCGGCCUUGGCGGGUGAACGGCCACACGGGGACUGAGACACGGCCCCGACUCCUACGGGAGGCAGCAGUGGGGAAUAUUGGGCAAUGGGCGCAAGCCUGACCCAGCGACGUCGCGUUGGGGAAGAAGGCCUUCGGGUUGUAAACCCAUGUCGGGAGGAAAGAUGGGUCCAUUUGCUAAUACCAAACGGACUUGACGGUACCUCCGGAGGAAGCCCCGGCUAACUCCGUGCCAGCAGCCGCGGUAAUACGGAGGGGGCAAGCGUUGCUCGGAUUUACUGGGCGUAAAGGGUCCGUAGGUGGCUCUGUAAGUUAGAUGUGAAAGCUUAAGGCUCAACCUUAAAAUUGCAUCUAAAACUGCAGAGCUAGAGUCCAGGAGAGGUUGGCGGAAUUCCCGGUGUAGCGGUGAAAUGCGUAGAUAUCGGGAGGAACACCAGUGGCGUAGGCGGCCAACUAGCCUGGAACUGACAUUGAGGGACGAAAGCGUGGGUAGCGAACCGGAUUAGAUACCCGGGUAGUCCACGCCCUAAACGAUGGAUGCUAGGUGUGGGGAUGUAAAUCUCCGUGCCGCAGCAAACGCAUUAAGCAUCCCGCCUGGGGAGUACGGUCGCAAGGCUAAAACUCAAAGGAAUUGGCGGGGGCCCGCACAAGCGGUGGAGCAUGUGGUUUAAUUCGAUGCUAAGCGAAGAACCUUACCAGGGUUUGACAUGCUGACUUAAGCCUAUGUGAAAGCAUU
RNAcentral lists this ribosomal RNA (985 nucleotides) under uncultured bacterium. RNAcentral describes it as "bacterial SSU rRNA". It matches the Rfam family "Bacterial small subunit ribosomal RNA", at positions 56 to 1011 of the family's 1533-position model. The record is from RNAcentral.